This 105-nucleotide small RNA is filed under the name Marmota monax (woodchuck). The record is from RNAcentral. Lineage: Eukaryota; Metazoa; Chordata; Mammalia; Rodentia; Sciuridae.
GCCAGGCAUGGUGGUGCAUGCCUGUAAUCCUACUCACUCAGGAGGCUGAGGCAAGAGGAUUGCAAGUUUAAGCGGUCUAAGCAACUUAGCAAGACCCUGGCUCAA